RNAcentral lists this ribosomal RNA (253 nucleotides) under uncultured bacterium. RNAcentral describes it as "partial 16S ribosomal RNA". It matches the Rfam family "Bacterial small subunit ribosomal RNA", at positions 524 to 776 of the family's 1533-position model. The record is from RNAcentral.
AACGUAGGACGCAAGCGUUAUCCGGAGUUACUGGGCGUAAAGGGCGCGUAGGCGGCAAUCCAAGUCAGCUGUGAAAUCUCCGGGCUUAACUCGGAACGGUCAGCUGAUACUGCUUUGCUAGAGUGCAGAAGGGGCAAUCGGAAUUCUUGGUGUAGCGGUGAAAUGCGUAGAUAUCAAGAGGAACACCUGAGGUGAAGACGGGUUGCUGGGCUGACACUGACGCUGAGGCGCGAAAGCUAGGGUAGCAAACGGG